GACCCGGAGCAGAGGGGCCCCGCGGACGGCCGGAGUCCGAGGCGCGGCCAUUUCUUCCACGGCUCCCGGGUGCCCCUUAGGUCUGGGUAUCGGGUGGCCUGUGGAUCUGAGAGCUAGAAGGGAGGGGUGCGGGUGCCUGACACGAGCGGGUGAAAGGCCUGAGGUGCCUCACGUGAGAGGUGCGGGUGCCUGACACGAGCGGGUGAAAGGCCUGAGGUGAGGGGUGCAGGUGCCUGGUGUGAGAGGUGCGGGUGCCUGACACGAGCAGGUGAAAGACCUGAGACAUGUAGAAAUUGAGAUGCUGCUAUUCCACCAGGGAUCCGUGAGCACCACAGUAGCAAGCUGAGACGCUCCAUCAACACUUGGCGCGGACAAUGCCUGCUCCCCACCCAGGAACAGCAAGUCCAGGUGUAUGGUUUGGUCCUCAGCAUUUGUGCAUGAUUAAUUUCUAUCUUCAGUGCAUAGAAAGAGACACACAGGAAUCUCUGACACGAGCAACCUGCGGCAGAAAUUUCUUCAGACCCUAAUUAUUAAAAUCUUAGAAUUCCUAAAGCGGGAGUGAUCUUAUGACAUUAUAUUAUAUCCAUAACAAGCAAUACAAAACACAUGGUCUAACCAGCGGGACGCUGGUGGUAUCUCGAGCCGGAGCCGAUAUCAGCGCAAGAGCUUUGGUUCCAGAAACUGCUUCCAGACACUCUACUAGACUAUCAACUAAACCAGAGCCCCACGCCGGCUGAUGACGGGAAAUAACCAUCCUCUUCGGUUUUUUCCCUUUGUCAGACAGCAUGGCGAUUACUAAACAGGCGUGAACUCGGUGGCGCGGGGCAAGGGGGAAAAAGAAAAGUUAUGUAACAAACAGCAGGACUUAAUAUCUCUAUAUGCUUAGUAAUGGAGAAUUAUCAUUGGCAAUAGGACUGUCUUUUUCUUUUUGGGGGGAAACCCCAGCAACGGUAGUGAGUUGUGUGUUGAAACAUGGAAUGUAAUCGAGAUAAGCGCAAAUGAAGUGAAACUUAUCACGUA
Molecule: long non-coding RNA, 1020 nt
Organism: Sorex araneus (European shrew)
Lineage: Eukaryota; Metazoa; Chordata; Mammalia; Eulipotyphla; Soricidae
Exons: 3
Source: RefSeq, a predicted model, not a curated record